AGAGUUUGAUCCUGGCUCAGGAUGAACGCUGGCGGCGUGCCUAAUACAUGCAAGUCGAACGAAGCGCUUGAAUGGAAUUCUUCGGAAGGAAGCUCAAGUGACUGAGUGGCGGACGGGUGAGUAACGCGUGGGUAACCUGCCUCAUACAGGGGGAUAACAGUUAGAAAUGACUGCUAAUACCGCAUAAGCACACGUGAUCGCAUGAUCGAGUGUGAAAAACUCCGGUGGUAUGAGAUGGACCCGCGUCUGAUUAGCUAGUUGGUGGGGUAAUGGCCCACCAAGGCGACGAUCAGUAGCCGGCCUGAGAGGGUGAACGGCCACAUUGGGACUGAGACACGGCCCAAACUCCUACGGGAGGCAGCAGUGGGGAAUAUUGCACAAUGGGGGAAACCCUGAUGCAGCGACGCCGCGUGAAGGAUGAAGUAUUUCGGUAUGUAAACUUCUAUCAGCAGGGAAGAAAAUGACGGUACCUGACUAAGAAGCCCCGGCUAACUACGUGCCAGCAGCCGCGGUAAUACGUAGGGGGCAAGCGUUAUCCGGAUUUACUGGGUGUAAAGGGAGCGUAGACGGCAGUGCAAGUCUGAAGUGAAAGCCCGGGGCUCAACCCCGGGACUGCUUUGGAAACUGUGCAGCUAGAGUGUCGGAGAGGCAAGCGGAAUUCCUAGUGUAGCGGUGAAAUGCGUAGAUAUUAGGAGGAACACCAGUGGCGAAGGCGGCUUACUGGACGAUAACUGACGCUGAGGCUCGAAAGCGUGGGGAGCAAACAAAAAGAGAUACCCUGGUAGUCCACGCCGUAAACG
RNAcentral lists this ribosomal RNA (800 nucleotides) under uncultured bacterium. RNAcentral's name for it is "bacterial SSU rRNA". It matches the Rfam family "Bacterial small subunit ribosomal RNA", at positions 8 to 808 of the family's 1533-position model. The record is from RNAcentral.